ACUGGCCCAAAGAACAAAAAUGGAUACAAGCAGAUCUAAAUCUGGACUGAACUCUCUCUCCACCUCCUCCCUGGAGCAGAGCCCAGCGGGGCGUCGGUCUUCAGGUGAGCAGCAGACCUGCACAGAUCUUCUCCUCUUCAUGAAGCCUCUCAGAUGUUCCACCGUCUGCUCUCCAUCUCUUCAUCUCGACCCUCCGUGACCUCCAACCUCCUCUCAGACGCCCCGAGGCCUGAUGGGAAAAUGAGGCAGAGGCUGAUUUACAUCCUUUAAUCUGCUGCAGACGAGGUUCAGAUGUUUGUUUCCACCAAACCCUCAGAGAACCGAAGGAGAACCAUAAACCAGAUCAGCUGGAGGAGACCAAACACGGAGCUAAAAGGAAUGAUUCCAGGUCCCAGGAGGUUGAGUGUUUCCUCAUUUCCUCGUGUCCCCUCUCCAACCUCCGACUGAUUAAUGACACAAUUAAAGCACCGACAGCUCAGUGUGAAUUUCUGAGCUUCAUUAGCAUGUUAAAGAUGAGUUCAUUAGCGGAGGUCACCGCAGGACAGAGCUUUGUUCAACAAAAAGGAGAACAGAACGUUCACGGUUUGAUUCCGGACCUUCAGCCCAGAUGAAGACGGAAACACCUGAAGACAUCCAGCAGCUUUAAGCAAAAACUGGAAAAGAAAGAUUUAAAAUGAACAGAAACACAAAGAACUGGAGGAAAGAGACACAAAAUGGACACAAAUCAACGCACAACAACUGAAAAGAGACACAAAAACAUCAAAACAAGAUGGAUAAAACCACAAAAGACAAGAAAACUGUUGGAAAAGAAACAAGAAGAUACAAUAAGAACAUGCAGCACAGCAACAACAGAGAGACUCACAAACCAACAAAAUAGGCAGAAAAUGACGACAACAAGAUAUAAAAUGUACAGAAAGACACAACUGAUUAAAAAGAAACACAAAAUUAACAAAAAUUGAAGCACAAGAACAAAAAGAGACACAAAAACACCACAACAAAAUGUAAAGUGACCACAAAGAUACAGAAAACUGUUAGAUAAGACACAAAAAGACACAAGAUGAAAAAAGGCCACAACACAGAGACUCACAAACCAACAAGAGGCAGAAAACGAUGACAACAAGAUGUAAAAUGGACACAAAGACACACAAAUGUUGGUGAGGAGAUUCAAAAGAGAGAAAUAAAAAACCUUUAAGAGACACAAGAGUCUGAAAUAUCACCAAUGUUUGUGUCGUCCUGCUAAACUGCAGACAGGAAACAGUUCUAUUGAUUGAUCAGCUGAUCAUUUUGUUGAUAAAUCGAUCAAUAACUGAUGAAAAACCUUCAAACUGUUUGAUUUGUUUCUGAGACAGAAACUGAAGACGAGCAGCGACACGUCUGAAGGUUUUAAACCAGCUGCAGGAAGAGGUCAUAAGAGGUUAUUAGAGGUCAUCAGGUGAUCAGCUGACCUAUGACCUCAUCCUGCAGGUUGCUAUGACGAUGACAGUCAAAACCUCCUUAAGGUGGACGGUUUCCUCCAUCCUCCUUAAACAUCCAGAAUAGACGACCUGAUUUCUGAAAGGAGGACGAAGAGAAACUGAAGAGUCUCAGAGGAACCAGGAUCAGGACUGAACCAGUUCUGGAUCUGGAUCUGAAUCUGGAUCUGGAUCUGGACCAGAGCCCAGAUCACACUUCAUCCUUAGACAGUAAUAGAAUUAUUUUAAUUUUAUUCUAAUAUUCAGUCAUAUUUAAUAUUCAUAUUGUGAAAUAUUGUUAUUUCUUUCAAAGGAAAAAACAGCUUUUAUUUUUUAUUUACUUAAAUAUUAUGCUUUAACUAUAUUACACCCAAUGUUCUGAAAUAUUAUGACAUUAUUUUCAAAAUAUUAUUCUAUUUGAAUGUUAUGCUUUUUUUUUUAAACAUUAUAG
Amphiprion ocellaris (clown anemonefish) is the source of this 1902-nucleotide long non-coding RNA. The record is from Ensembl. Lineage: Eukaryota; Metazoa; Chordata; Actinopteri; Pomacentridae.